Siniperca chuatsi (mandarin fish) is the source of this 303-nucleotide long non-coding RNA. RefSeq lists it as uncharacterized. Lineage: Eukaryota; Metazoa; Chordata; Actinopteri; Centrarchiformes; Sinipercidae. The record is from RefSeq and is a predicted model, not a curated record. The transcript is spliced from 2 exons.
CUCAGGAGUGAAGCUGCUGUCUGCUGGACUGGAGGAUCCACACUGGAGACUGGACACUCUCAGGGUGGAGCCCGGUGGAGUCCGAUGGCUGAGACCAGGUCUGAGGAAGUGUAAGUGUGUUUUUACUUUGAUUCAUGAAAACAAAGCAGCACACAUUCAGCCAUCUUCAAACUGUGACAUCACUCAUUCACGUCUCUGAUGUCGUCAUCAAACAGAUGAUAGAUUAAUAACUGCAGCUGUGUUGUGUCUCGUUCUCUCCAUCAGAUUCCUGUGAACUCACACUCGACACAAACACAGUGAACA